AUGGCCCCGAAGCGGCAAUCUGCGAUCCCGCCUCAGCCCAAGAAACCCAGACCCAUUGCUGCCCCGAAGUUGGAGGACAAGUUGGCCUCUCCCAGCCUGCCGAAGGGAGAAAAAGAACAGCAAGAAACUAUUGACCAUAUUGAUGAAGUACAAAAUGAAAUGGACAGACUUAAUGAACAAGCCAGUGAGGAAAUUUUGAAAGUAGAACAAAAAUAUAACAGACUCUGCCAACCAUUUUUUUUUUCAGAAGAGGUCAGAAUUGAUCGCCAAAAUCCCAAAUUUUUGGGUAACAACAUUUGUCAACCAUCCACAAGUGUCUGCACCGCGUGGGGAGGAAGACGAGGAGGCCCUGCAUUAUUUGACCAGAGUUGAAGUGACAGAAUUUGGAGACAUUAAAUCAGGUUACAGAAUAGAUUUUUAUUUUGAUGAAAAUCCUUACUUUGAAAAUAAAGUUCUCUCCAAAGAAUUUCAUCUGAAUGAGAGCGGUGACCCGUCUUCAAAGUCCACCGAAAUCAAAUGGAAAUCUGGGAAGGAUUUGACAAAAUGCUCAAGUCAAACGCCGAAUAAGGCCAGCAGGAAGAGGCAGCGUGAAAAGCCAGAGAGCUCCUUUCCCUGGUUUACUGACCGUUCUGACGCAGGUGCUGACGAGUUAGGAGAGGUCGUCAAGGAUAAUAUUUGGCCAAACCCCUUGCGGUCCUAUUUGGUUCCCGAUAUGGAUGAUGAAGGAGAGGCAGAGGAUGAUGAUGAUGACGACGACGAAGAAGAACCGUUGGAAGAUAUUGAUGAAGGAGACAGGGAUGAAGGUGAAGAAGAUGACGAUGAGGAGGAAGGGGAGGAAGGAAGACGAAGGCGAGGAUGA
Rattus norvegicus (Norway rat) is the source of this 859-nucleotide RNA transcript. It is a transcript of the gene named SET-like protein 1, transcript variant 1, non-coding, with no coding region annotated. NCBI's taxonomy places the organism in Eukaryota, Metazoa, Chordata, Mammalia, Rodentia, Muridae. The record is from RefSeq and is marked validated. The transcript has a single exon.